CACCUGCCUAGGAUGCAUAAGACACUGGUUCAGUACCCCCACUGCCAAAAAUAAUAACAAAAUGUCACAAGAUAACUGCCCCCAAAAAACAAAAGUGAUGGGUAUAGAGAAAAGAGAAUCCUUGUAAGCUCUUGGUGGCAAUGAACAUUGUUACAGCCACCAUAGAGAACAGCCAGGAGUUUUCUGAGGAAAUUAAAAAUGUAACUGCCAUAUGAGGUAUAUUAGGUGUAUACACAAAGGAGAUACAAUCCCCAUGUGGUUGGGAUAAUCACAGACCCACACUCACUGCAGCAUCAUGCACGAUAUCCAAGAUACGGAAAGAAUCUUACAUAUCCACCUAUGAGUGAAUGGGUAGAGAAGCUGGUCACGAUAUACAAAGGAAUAUUAUUUGGGCUUUAAAAAGGAGACCCUGCCAUUUCCCACAACAAGGAUGCAUCUGGAAGACAUUCUGCUAAGUGAAAUGAACCAGACAUGGAAAGGAAAAUAUUGCGUGAUCUCAAUUAUAUGUGGAGCCUUAAAAAGUCAACUAUGCAGACAGAAUAAAACAAUGUUUCCACAUACACAUUUAUUGAUUUUCAACAAAAGUGCUGAUGUAAUCCAAUGGCUAGUGCAUCGGCUUUUCAGCAGAAUGUGCCAGGGCAACUGGCUAAGGAAAUAACCCAUCGCCUCUGCUGCACUAUAGAAACAUUCAUUGGAAACGUUUUGUGAAGAAGUGUAAGGACUAAAUGGAUGAAAAUCGUAGAAGAAAACAUAAGAGAAAACUGUCUUUAAGCUUGAGAUUUGUUAUCUUUGAUACAGAACGCACAGACUGUAACAAGGAAAAGAAAGACGAAUUGGAUUUAAUCAAAAUUUAAAACAUCUGUACAGUAAGUUAAGCAACUCAAUUUUUAAAGUUGGUAAAAUUCGAAUAGAUUUUUUUUUUUUGCCAAGGAGAAGAUGUAGAUGGCAAACAAACCAGUGAGUAGAAACUAAAUGUAACUGUCAUUAGAAAAAUGAAAUUAAAACCCCCAGAGAAUACCACCACUGGCUCCAUAGAAAGGCUACGAUGAGAAGUGGCUUGUUGAGGACACAGAGUGACUGGAAGCUGGUGUAAAUCCCAGGGGAAGCAGGAUUGGACCUGCAGCGGGUCCUCAUAAAGCCGUGUUCUAUGGCCGACAAACCCCAGGUCUAGGAUUUUAACCAAGCAGAGGGAAAACACAGUUGUAUAGUGUUUGGAAAGUUUUAUUUAUGGUAAGUGGAUGGUAGAAAUAAUUCCGAUGUUUACAUUGGAAAAUGGACAGCUGAUUUAAUAGGAAACACAACUGAAAAAUCACAUCAAAGCAUCCACAUGGGCCAUAAAAUCGAUGGAUCUCAGAAGCACUGGUGAAUCAAAAACACAGGACUAGAUUAGAUUAGAAAAGGUAACACCAGAUUGCAGAAAGAUAAGGACUGGGCAUGAGAGCACCGAACUGGCCUAGAAAACCCUCAGGGGAACUUUCUUCGGUAUCAAAAGCCUUCUAUAUCUCAAUUAUGAUUUCAGUUGUACAACUGCGAACAUUUGUCAAAACUCACCACACUGCAGUCCUUUAAAAGGUAAACUCCCUACCUAAAAAUAUUUAGAAAUACUUAGACCAAGCAAAACAAAAGAAGAAACCACCCUCCUUAAAACAAGACAAAAACACCUUACCUAAGCCCAGUUACCUCGUUUGUAAAAUCAUAUCUACUGUGAUACACGCUUCCCACGGAAAUGUUAUCCUGGCCUGAGUCCUAAGUCCCUGCUUUGACUUGGAUUUGCCAGUUUGUGUUGUUGAUAAAUAAAGAUACAGGACAUUUAUGACAAGCAUCUAUUAUUAUGCUCCAUACAUCUGAGACGUUGCACAGCUCCGAAAUGAGUAUGACAUUCAAUAGAAGAAGCCAUAAAGAGUCAAUAAUCUUUUCAGAACCCAACCAGAUGCCAGACUCCAGACCAUAGUGAGAACAAUUUGCUUUUGAAUUCAGCCCUGCCUUCUUUUAUUCAUUUGCAACAGAAUGUUUGUUGAUUGGGGUUGAAAGAAGAAUUUUCAGAAAUGAUCCUGUUUAUUUCUCAUGGCCUAGGCGGCGUCAAUGUUCUGACACCCUCACUGUGAAUUGUAGACGUGUGUUCAUAGUUGACACAAUUACACUCCAAGUCCUUGUAGUUAUUUCUUCCAUUCCCUUGCCUUUGGAAGGGAGCUCACUCCCUCGCCUGUGUUUAGACCCUAUCCCCACUCUAACAGCAAUAAAGUCCCAUAGGCUGACUUUAGUGUGAGGUCUUCCAAGACCCUGGGAAAUAUCAUUGCCCUCAAUGGCCUGGUGCCUCAUCAUUCUCUGCCUGACCUAGUUAGGGUUACUAUUGCUGUGACCAAAAACAACUUGGGGAGGAAAGGGUUUAUCUGGCUGACAUAUCCUGAGUCACAGCACAUGGAAAGGAAGCAAAGGCAGGAACUCAGACUACGUGGGAACCUGGAGGCAGGAGCCCUUGCAGAGGCCACGGAGGAAUGUUGCUUACUGGCUUGCUCCACAUGGCUUGCUCAGCCUGCUUUCUUAUAGAACUCAGGACCACCAGCCCAGGGCUGGCCCCACCCACAAUAGUCUGGGCCUUCCCAUACCAAUCACUAAUUAAGAAAACACCCUGCAGGCUUGCCUCCAGCCCCAUCUUUUUGUUUGUUUGUUUUGUUGUUGUUGUUGUUUUGGAGACAGGACACCAUGAUGGCCUUGAACUCACAGAGAUCUGCCUGCCUCUGCCUCCCUAGUGCUGGGAUUACAGGCGUGCAGCACCAUUGUCCGGCUACUAUAGCCCCGUCUUAUGGAGGGGUUUUCUCAGCUGAGGUUCCCUCCUCUCUGAUGGCUUUAGCUUGUGUCAAGUUGACAGAGAACUAGCCAGCACACUGCCCAAAUCACUGCUUAUUUCAGCUCGAGAUAAAUUUUCUAAAUCUACUCCUAUCGGGAUUGUCUCAAUCAUAUCUAAUGCAGAUUGAACCACAAUGAUUAUUACUUCACUUUUUAAUAGUGAUAAUGGUAACGUAGCAACAACCAUCACCCUGCAUUGGUAGCUGGGGUUAGGACAACGCUACAUGUUAACAACUGCUCCUUAUAGGGGCACGAGGCACAGAUACCUGUUUUUACCAUGAGGGAUCCAGGCUCACAAGGUCUCAGAGGCUUUGCUCACACCAUGAAUCCAGGGAAAUCCAGGUCUCACAUCUGCAAAGUUUUUGAAAGAGAUGACAGUUUUCUUUUACUUGAGCUGUUUGGUUACACCAAGUCAAGUCCCCAGACAAGUGUUCUUCCCUGCUGACUGGUGGCAGGCAGACUUAGGUGGCACCUCAGUGAUUUACAGCUAUGAGAUCCUUCCCAUUUUCUAAACUGUACUAGACAUCACUAGUCAAUCAUCAUCUCAGCCACCAAGCUCCUAGAUGACUUGUGAAUCAUUUCUUUGUUCUCCUGAGGCACCCUCAGCAACUGAUCACCAUCAAUGGCCGAAUCACGGGGGUGGGGGCAUUUCUAACUUUGCUGAGCUUUGUCUAAUGCUUUGAUUCUUCCCAUCUGCAGGUGGGAUUAAAGAUAAAGACGACAGGAACAUGCUGGGGAGUGUCAUCCAGUGACUGGUCCACAGUGGGAUCUCACCCAAGUGCCCACUCUACAGCUGUUGUCAUGCCAACCCUAGAGCAUCAAGCCCAACCAUUGCAGGUGGUCAACUGAGCAAGCCAAGAGAUGCAAGCCAGUAAGCAGCAGCCUUCUAUGGCCUCUGCUUUACCUCUUGCCUCCAGGUUCCUGCCUUGAGUUCCUGCCUUGCUUUCCCCUGAUGAUGGACUGUGACCUGUAAGCCAAAUAAAACCUUUCCUCUCCAA
Long non-coding RNA from Peromyscus californicus insignis, 3845 nucleotides. RefSeq lists it as uncharacterized. The record is from RefSeq and is a predicted model, not a curated record. The transcript is spliced from 2 exons. Lineage: Eukaryota; Metazoa; Chordata; Mammalia; Rodentia; Cricetidae.